This is a long non-coding RNA of Gallus gallus (chicken), 3850 nucleotides long. Lineage: Eukaryota; Metazoa; Chordata; Aves; Galliformes; Phasianidae. The record is from Ensembl.
AUGAGGUUUGUAGCAGAAACGCUACGCCAUGGCCUGAAGCAGUGAUUGAGCAGCUGGUGGGAAGGCAGGGCCAACCCAGGGGAGCUCAGGUGCAUGCACUGUACCUGAAUGACCAGAAGGGGUGGAGCCGGGAUCCACCCCUUCCCAGACCUCACUUAAGGGUUGGCAGUAGAGGUGAUGGUAUUUUGCUGGAGAUUCCCGUAUACCUGUGGCCUUUGGGAGGAAGGAAUUCUGCCUUCUAAAGAUGCACAUACAAACACCAUAAAUUGCUCUGCCUGGGAAUUUUGAGGCAUGUUCUAUUUUCUAAGCCACUGGGCACUCCUGUGUGACUGCAGGAAGACUGCAUUCAUCCACAGCAGGAAAACUCACACCAAGGUGGCAGGUUGUGCUCAUGAGAAGGAGAAGCAGCAGGAAUUUAUGAUAUCGAAGCUGGGAGGAGCAGUUCUUUUGGAGAAACACACACAAGCCAUUCUAGUUUAACCCAGCCCUUCCCGGUUCCAGUGCUAAGCUGCCAGCGACCUCCACUGAUGUCGGCUGUGGACAAAUGACACCCAGACAGGCACAUACCUACCCAGCCCUUGGGAAGCGUCCAUCUAGAGGAACUCUGCACUGCCACCCCUCUGCACAUCACAUAUCCCCAGGUUCCCCCUCCCACCUGGUGAGGGCUCAGAACCAGAGGAUGAGCACCACCCUUCUAUGCACCUUUCUACACGAUACGAACAUGAGUAGGUUUGGCCCAUCUGAAACUGCUUUUUGUCUUUUUUUUUCAAAUGUUCUGUUUUGGAGAUAGUGAUUUCCAGCUGCUUUGGAACAGUUGCCAAUCCCACAGGAGGGAAGGUAACAAGUGGCGGGAAAGACAGAGCCACCUCACUUCAUAUGCUUCCACCAUUCCCCAGUGUGGCUCAAUUCCAGAGGACCCUGGGAAGCCAUAGUAUCACCCUGACAAUAGCUGAUAUGACUCUUAAACUGUAGGAUGCUGUUUUUAUUCCUUUUGACAAAAUAUUUUGUAUUCUCAUCCUCCUGAGUCUCAGCACAGGAAAGCUGGCAUGGAGUUGUGAAGGAUUGUCAGGAACAGAUUUGUUUCUUACUCUGCAGAGAAGACUCAAGCCACCUAGCCAAAAUGCAUUUUACACCACAAUGCAAAAGAACAUCAGUGCAAAAUUCAUCAAAGCAUGUUUAAAUCUGUCUUUGUUUUUCAUCUCCACUAUUUCCUAGGAACAAAACCAUGGUUUUAAUGCCUUGGGUGGAGAUGGUUAUGAGGUGCAUAAACCCCAGAGAUGUUCUGGAAAUAAAUUUUCCUUCCUGAAGUGCAGGGGGCAAGAACCUUCUAAAGUAAAUGGCCAGGCCACAAGUUAAAUUCGCUGAUCUACUAUAGGUCAAAGAGAAACUAACUGGUGACAAUGUGCAGGAUGUAUCAUCAUUACCAUCAUUCAUGUUAAUUGUUCUAGUACCUUAAGACCAACUGCAGAUGGAUUGUUGUUGUACAAGAGUAGCUGACAGUUUCUGACCCAUGGAAGUUACCCUUCAGUAACCAGGAAGUUGAGAAAAGCAACUAGAACAUGCAAGCAGAAACACUCAUGCAUCAUAUUGAUCUCAGAGCAUUUAAUUUUAUUUCUGUCUCUCUGUGUGUAAGUUAAAUAAGAUAAAUGGAAAAAAUGAAUGCAGGAUAGAUAAGAAAGGGUAGAUGAGACAAGAGGGACAAAAUACACAUUUUUAAAACCUGAAUUUCUCUUUGACCUAGAAACUCUACAUUUUUGUCAAGUCUAGAAUGCAACUCACAUGUUUGCACACACAUUCUGCAGCCACAGUCCCAUCCACCUAGGGAGCUGUGGAAUUUGUUUCAUGAGACAUGCAGGUUGUCUGUCAGCCAUGGAGGUUUAGAAGUUGUUCUGCCUCUUUGUGUCUUUCAUCCAGCCACAGGAAUACAGCUCCUAGUUUGAUCUUUGUUACUGGCAAGCAUCCAUCCGUCAGUCCCAUCUGUUACGCUGAGCCUGUGUGUGACACAUGCAGCAGAUUGAGUCCCGAGGGCAGACUGAUGAGGGGCUGGUGCACACUUGCAUUUCUUACCAGUGACUGAAAUGUAUAUGCCAGCAUUUUCUGCAGAUGGAAAAUAGGGAAGUACUCAAAUGUCAGGGAGGGGUUUGGUGUCAGUACUUCUAAAAGUCAAUAACUCACAGACAAGAUGGCAGCCCCAUUUAGAGAUUUUAAUAUUUCCACUCCUAGAGCUGCCUCCAAAACAGGUCUUUGGCCAUCAUGCCCUGGAGCUGCUAGGAUAUUUCCAAAUUCUCUUCUACGACGUCCAGGGAUGUUCAGUGAGUUUCUUCCCUUCUACUUUCUGGGUGCAGAGGAUAUGAUGGCAAACCACAGAGGCAUUCAGAAGCUUUGGGUUUUAUUGCAUUUCUGCUUCCCUCUAUUUGAACAAUUCAGUCUCUAAAUAUCCUUCCUUCCACAUCAACUAUCAGUAUCAUCUACAAAGCAGGUUUUUUUUUUUGUACAGAAGAUUUAUUUCUGAACCUUGAAUUGAACAUAGUUCCUGGUCCUCCCAUGCUAGUACUGCAUAAGUAACUGUGUACUGAAGUGCUGCAAAUGAACUGAAGGAGUCACCCCAGGAGGUCAAAGGGCUGCUACUGAGACAUAAGAAAUGUGACAUCUAAGUGCUGCAGUUGUAUAAAAGCAGUAAUAGUGCAGCUGAAAACACAACUGAUAAUAAACCAAACAAGCAGAAAACUCACGCCUGUCAUCUGUUGAGGUCUGCACAAAAUACACCAAGUAUUGUGUGGAGGAAAUUGUGUGUACAAGUGGGCCAAUAUCCAAAUACAGUAUCAAAUGGUAUCACUCUAACUGAACAAAGGUAUGACUAGUGAUCAGAACAUCUAUGUGUGCUAAAUGUAUUGAUAUUUAGCCAAUAAAACAAUGUAAAAUGUGUGUAUGAGAACCAAAGAGAACACAAGAUGCAACGCAGAAAAAAUUAAGUAUAUACAUUAAGGAAAGCCUCAGGUUGAGCGCAGGCUACUGGAAAAUCAGACCCUACCCGGUGCUUUCAGGUCACCAACACAACACAAAGUAUGUGUGUAGCUUCUUCCCCCAGUAAGAAAAUCUGCCUGAUGAACCUGGUGUGCAGCUAACUGUGCAGUUUAUGCAGGCCUAGUUGAAACUGGGGAUAUCAUCUGCAACAGCAAAUGGGGACAAGAAAGGAUGAGCCCCAGCAUAGCGCUGUGUGAGGGUCCCCCUGCACUGCUCCCAUGUCCCUGACUCUCACGCUAUGGAAAAAGCUGCCCACAGCCCAAAGGCUGUCAGAACCACCAGCCAAAACCUUUGUAGAAACCCCAGCUUUUAUCUCCAUUCUUGUAACAAUGAGCAUAAACGAUUCCACAGAUCCAUCUGCUGCCUUCCCUGUCCUGACAAGUGGACUCUGAAGUUCUUUUAUUAAGCCAGCUGCAAAUCAAUUUCCUCACUGGAUCAGCACAGCACUGAAGCAAACAUAUAUGCAGUUUCUCGUAGGGCUGAGCUAAAUUAAACCCUAAUACCUUAUGGCAGUUUUUUCCUUCCAAUGUUCAGUGUAAUGUAGUUUCAUUUAAAGGACUAGGCUACCUCAAAAAUAAUAGCCUAGUUAAAGUAAUGCAUAAAACUGCAUGGGGAAAAAACAAACAAACAAAAGAACCCACAGAUUUUCUAGCUCUGAACAGCUAUUACCCUCUGUGACAAGACUAGGAAGGCAAUAUCCCUGAUUUCCACAUAGAAAUUCAUACAGGUCAUUGUAUUAAUCUUUUUUUUUUUUUUUUUUUUUUUUUUUUUUCCCCAGGUCUUAGCUCUUUGAACACCUUUUCACUUGUCACACAGGGAAACAUAU